UAAGAGCUCAGAUUUGAAAGGCACUUGUGCCGUUGUAUUCUGAAGUUAGGAUUCUCGAAAACGACACCUAAGUUUUCUGGAAAGGAAUGCCACAGAGGGUGAUAGCCCCGUACGGUGUUGACUCGAUACAGAGUCCUAACAUGGAGUCGAGUUGUUUGGGAAUGCAGCUCAAAUGGGUGGUAUGCUCCAUCUAAGGCUAAAUAUUUGCGAGAGACCGAUAGCGAACAAGUACUGUGAAGGAAAGAUGAAAAGAACUUUGAAAAGAGAGUGAAAUAGUACGUGAAAUUGUUGAAAUGGAAGGGUAGGCCGCUAACCAUGUAGGACCGUGUUUGGGGGGAAGAUAAAUGCUGUAGAAUGUGGCUCCUCGGAGUGUUAUAGCUACAGUUCAUGUU
RNAcentral lists this ribosomal RNA (392 nucleotides) under uncultured Wickerhamiella. Its description in RNAcentral is "eukaryotic LSU rRNA". It matches the Rfam family "Eukaryotic large subunit ribosomal RNA", at positions 102 to 519 of the family's 3401-position model. The record is from RNAcentral. Lineage: Eukaryota; Fungi; Ascomycota; Dipodascomycetes; Dipodascales; Trichomonascaceae.